This 250-nucleotide ribosomal RNA is filed under the name uncultured Pseudomonas sp. RNAcentral describes it as "partial 16S ribosomal RNA". It matches the Rfam family "Bacterial small subunit ribosomal RNA", at positions 103 to 356 of the family's 1533-position model. The record is from RNAcentral. Lineage: Bacteria; Pseudomonadati; Pseudomonadota; Gammaproteobacteria; Pseudomonadales; Pseudomonadaceae.
CGGGUGAGUAAUGCCUAGGAAUCUGCCUGGUAGUGGGGGACAACGUUUCGAAAGGAACGCUAAUACCGCAUACGUCCUACGGGAGAAAGCAGGGGACCUUCGGGCCUUGCGCUAUCAGAUGAGCCUAGGUCGGAUUAGCUAGUUGGUGAGGUAAUGGCUCACCAAGGCGACGAUCCGUAACUGGUCUGAGAGGAUGAUCAUUCACACUGGAACUGAGACACGGUCCAGACUCCUACGGGAGGCAGCAGCG